RNAcentral lists this small RNA (21 nucleotides) under Arabidopsis thaliana (thale cress). The record is from RNAcentral. Lineage: Eukaryota; Viridiplantae; Streptophyta; Magnoliopsida; Brassicales; Brassicaceae.
CUAUAACUCUGGGAACCGGGG